Molecule: long non-coding RNA, 374 nt
Filed under: Lonchura striata (white-rumped munia)
Lineage: Eukaryota; Metazoa; Chordata; Aves; Passeriformes; Estrildidae
Description: domestica (Bengalese finch) lncRNA (ENSLSDG00000000968.1)
Source: RNAcentral
ACCGCCCCCCUGGACGGCGUCAUCCUGGUGGUGGCGGCCACCGACGGGCAGAUGCCGCAGACCCGCGAGCACCUCCUGCUGGCACGGCAGGUGAGCACAGGUAAAGGGACAGGUGGGACAGGUGAGACAGGUAAAGGGACAGGUGGGACAUGGACAGGUGGGACAGGUGAGACAUGGACAGGUGGGACAUGGACAGGUGAGACAGGUGGGACAGGUAAAGGGACAGGUGGGACAUGGACAGGUGGGACAUGGACAGGUGGGACAUGGACAGGUGGGACAUGGACAGGUGGGACAGGUAAAGGGACAGGUGGGACAUGGACAGGUGGGACAUGGACAGGUGUGUCAGCACCUCCUGCUGGCACGGCAGGUGAGGA